GACGGACGCUGGCGGCGUGCUUAACACAUGCAAGUCGAACGGAAAGGCCCCAGCUUGCUGGGGUACUCGAGUGGCGAACGGGUGAGUAACACGUGGGUGAUCUGCCCUGCACUCUGGGAUAAGCCUGGGAAACUGGGUCUAAUACCGGAUAGGACCGUGCUUUAGUGUGUGCGGUGGAAAGUUUUUCGGUGCAGGAUGAGCCCGCGGCCUAUCAGCUUGUUGGUGGGGUAAUGGCCUACCAAGGCGGCGACGGGUAGCCGGCCUGAGAGGGUGUACGGCCACAUUGGGACUGAGACACGGCCCAGACUCCUACGGGAGGCAGCAGUGGGGAAUAUUGCACAAUGGGCGCAAGCCUGAUGCAGCGACGCCGCGUGGGGGAUGACGGCCUUCGGGUUGUAAACCCCUUUCGGCAGGGACGAAGCUUUUGUGACGGUACCUGCAGAAGAAGCACCGGCUAACUACGUG
Molecule: ribosomal RNA, 465 nt
Filed under: uncultured bacterium
Lineage: Bacteria
Description: partial 16S ribosomal RNA
Rfam family: Bacterial small subunit ribosomal RNA
Source: RNAcentral